This 558-nucleotide ribosomal RNA is filed under the name Stegastes nigricans (dusky farmerfish). RNAcentral describes it as "partial 16S ribosomal RNA". It matches the Rfam family "Bacterial large subunit ribosomal RNA", at positions 1844 to 2597 of the family's 2925-position model. Lineage: Eukaryota; Metazoa; Chordata; Actinopteri; Pomacentridae. The record is from RNAcentral.
UAUAAGAGGUCCCGCCUGCCCUGUGACCAUGUGUUUAACGGCCGCGGUAUUUUGACCGUGCAAAGGUAGCGCAAUCACUUGUCUUUUAAAUGAAGACCUGUAUGAAUGGCACGACGAGGGCUUAACUGUCUCCUUUUUCCAGUCAAUGAAAUUGAUCUCCCCGUGCAGAAGCGGGGAUAACCUCAUAAGACGAGAAGACCCUGUGGAGCUUUAGACACUAAAGCAGACCAUGUCAAACACUCCCUCCUAAGGAACAGAACUAGUUGUAACCCUGCCCUAAUGUCUUUGGUUGGGGCGACCUCGGAGGAACACAAAACCCCCGCGCAGAACAGGAGCACACUGCUCCCAAAACCAAGAGCUACCGCUCUAAGUAACAGAACUUCUGACUAUCAGGAUCCGGCCCACGCCGAUCAACGAACCGAGUUACCCCAGGGAUAACAGCGCAAUCCUCUUUUAGAGCCCAUAUCGACAAGGGGGUUUACGACCUCGAUGUUGGAUCAGGACAUCCUAAUGGUGCAGCCGCUAUUAAGGGUUCGUUUGUUCAACGAUUAAAGUCCU